ACGCUCGACACCUACGGGAGCAGCAGUGGGGAAUAUUGCACAAUGGGGGAAACCCUGAUGCAGCAACGCCGCGUGAAGGAAGACGGUUUUCGGAUUGUAAACUUCUGUUCUUAGUGAAGAUAGUGACGGUAGCUAAGGAGCAAGCCACGGCUAACUACGUGCCAUCAGCCGCGGUAAUCUGAGCGGGCUGGCAAGGC
RNAcentral lists this ribosomal RNA (197 nucleotides) under uncultured bacterium. RNAcentral's name for it is "partial 16S ribosomal RNA". It matches the Rfam family "Bacterial small subunit ribosomal RNA", at positions 328 to 539 of the family's 1533-position model. The record is from RNAcentral.